This 465-nucleotide ribosomal RNA is filed under the name uncultured bacterium. RNAcentral's name for it is "partial 16S ribosomal RNA". It matches the Rfam family "Bacterial small subunit ribosomal RNA", at positions 338 to 795 of the family's 1533-position model. The record is from RNAcentral.
CCUACGGGAGGCUGCAGUAGGGAAUCUUCCACAAUGGGCGAAAGCCUGAUGGAGCAACGCCGCGUGGGUGAAGAAGGUUUUCGGAUCGUAAAGCCCUGUUGUUAGAGAAGAAAGUGCGUGAGAGUAACUGUUCACGCUUCGAUGGUUUCUAACCAGCAAGCCACGGCUAACUACGUGCCAGCAGCCGCGGUAAUACGUAGGUGGCAAGCGUUAUCCGGAUUUAUUGGGCGUAAAGGGAACGCAGGCGGUCUUUUAAGCCUGAUGUGAAAGCCUGGGGCUUAACCGGAGUAGUGCAUUGGAAACUGGGGGACUUGAGUGCAGAAGAGGAGAGUGGAACUCCAUGUGUAGCGGUGAAAUGCGUAGAUAUAUGGAGGAACACCAGUGGCGAAAGCGGCUCUCUGGUCUGUAACUGACGCUGAGGUUCGAAAGCGUGGGUAGCAAACAGGAUUAGAUACCCUAGUAGUC